Pistacia vera is the source of this 259-nucleotide long non-coding RNA. RefSeq lists it as uncharacterized. The record is from RefSeq and is a predicted model, not a curated record. Lineage: Eukaryota; Viridiplantae; Streptophyta; Magnoliopsida; Sapindales; Anacardiaceae. The transcript has 3 exons.
GGUUUCUUGAUGCAAAGAAAAUAAGGCAAUAGUCACAAUUGCAGAUGAAGAUGGAAAUUAUUUACAGGAGGCAUGGGAGCAUAUUUUGACAUGUGUGUCCAGGUUUGAGCACAAUGUUCAGGUGUGCUGGGAGAAAUUUGGAAGGUACUUUGAGGUGGAGCUGAAGGAGGUGAAGCUAAGAGGUGGAUACUAUGUAAUGGACCCUCAAAAAGCAGUUGAAAUGGUAGAUGAGAACACUAUUUGUGUUGCUGCUAUUCUU